UCACCCUUCCCUGCCAUUCCCUCCGCUUGGAAGUCCCUUCUGACUCAUCCCUCAAAGUCCACCUCAAAGGUCACUUGCUCUGGGAGACACCUGCUCAGGUCUCCCACCCCUGAGGUUCCAGCCCCUCCCCCACCCAUGCUCCUGGCUGACUUUGUGUACUGUGGCCCACGGCUUGCUGCCCUGGAAAUGGGCUCCAGAGCAGGACCUGAAUGGGUUCAGUUGGGUUUCUGGUCCCGCAGGACAUGGCGUACAGUAGGUCUUGUCACAGGCUGGCCUCCUAUGUGCAGCACAUUGACUGAAGGCCCCCGUUCUCCACCAGAGCAGACAAGCAUUUGCGUGCCCACGUGUGUGGCAGCAGCCUGGGCUGUUUCUGGCUCUGCCUUUACCCUGCUGUUCAUCCACUCUGGCCCCAGCUUUUUGGUGGUAUAUCCAGAGUGGGGGAUCCCAGAGGAGCAAUGAGAUCAUGCCCAGCGAGGGCUUGGAGAUCCUCAGAGAAAGGCGCCUCUAUAAAUGCAGGUGUGAUUAACCCUGUUGGCACCCAUUUGGUGUUUUAAUUGCCCCACCAACGCCCGGCUGAGCACCCACAGCUGGGUUCCCAGGGUUGGGAGCUGGCAAGGUGGGUGGGGCCAAGAGGGGCCUUCUCCAAGGUUCACAGUAGUCAUUGUGAGCAGGGCCUGAGGCUGCGCUGACCUCCCCAGCCUCUCUGCAGCCCUCUUGCCACAGGCCUGAAGGUGCUGACUACAGCUCAGUCCCCAAAGACACUAUAAGUUGCGUGUCCUGUCCUUAGCCUUAACUUCCUGAGGGCAGAAAAACUAUGCGCAACAUUAACUUCCAGAGGCCUUUACUUCAACCCACACAUGAACCUACAGGGAGCCGUUUUACUGGCAGAAACAGGGCCAGGUGACUGGAUACCCAGCCUGCCUUCUGGGAGCUCAGAGCCUGUGGGGUUAUGGAGUACACAAGAAACCAGGACAUCUGUUAGGAUGGUUAAGAGUGAAGAACAGAGCUCCAAGGGGCUGAGGGGGGAUGGGUACACAGGCCGGGGGAACGGGUGGUUUAGGUGCACGAAGACCACUGGAAUAGAAGGGCUCUGGCCCAGAUCUAAGCUAGAGAGGCAGAGCUGGGGAGUUAGCAGUGGGGGAAGAGAAGGCAGUACGUGGUGUGCUCAGGUGUUAUUCAGUCAUCAAGUCGUGUCUGACUCUUCCUGA
RNAcentral lists this long non-coding RNA (1208 nucleotides) under Cervus hanglu yarkandensis (Yarkand deer). RNAcentral's name for it is "lncRNA (ENSCHYG00000000653.1)". Lineage: Eukaryota; Metazoa; Chordata; Mammalia; Artiodactyla; Cervidae. The record is from RNAcentral.